GGCUCAAUACUCGGCAAAGAAGCGACUUUGUUAAGUGUUUUUUUUCGAGUGUUAUUUUUUGUACUCUGCAAAGAGCCGGUUUCCGGUAGUAUAUUAAGUUUUUUCUAAUUGUGAUGUAUUCACAUAUUUUAUUUUGUAAGAAUUGUAAGGGCAAUGACAAAAUCUAUGAUGUAUUAUAAUAAUAUCUAUCGAGUGUGGUAUUGGGUCGGCCGUGGCACUCAACAAUUCGCUG
Molecule: long non-coding RNA, 232 nt
Filed under: Sorghum bicolor (sorghum)
Lineage: Eukaryota; Viridiplantae; Streptophyta; Magnoliopsida; Poales; Poaceae
Description: long non-coding RNA (SBIC_LNC012616)
Source: RNAcentral